This 497-nucleotide ribosomal RNA is filed under the name uncultured bacterium. RNAcentral describes it as "partial 16S ribosomal RNA". It matches the Rfam family "Bacterial small subunit ribosomal RNA", at positions 28 to 507 of the family's 1533-position model. The record is from RNAcentral.
GAUGAACGCUGGCGGCGUGCCUAAUACAUGCAAGUCGAGCGAACAGAUAAGGAGCUUGCUCCUUUGACGUUAGCGGCGGACGGGUGAGUAACACGUGGAUAACCUACCUAUAAGACUGGGAUAACUUCGGGAAACCGGAGCUAAUACCGGAUAACAUAUUGAACCGCAUGGUUCAAUAGUGAAAGGCGGCUUUGCUGUCACUUAUAGAUGGAUCCGCGCCGUAUUAGCUAGUUGGUAAGGUAACGGCUUACCAAGGCAACGAUACGUAGCCGACCUGAGAGGGUGAUCGGCCACACUGGAGCUGAGACACGGUCCAGACUCCUACGGGAGGCAGCAGUAGGGAAUCUUCCGCAAUGGGCGAAAGCCUGACGGAGCAACGCCGCGUGAGUGAUGAAGGUCUUCGGAUCGUAAAACUCUGUUAUCAGGGAAGAACAAAUGUGUAAGUAACUGUGCACAUCUUGACGGUACCUGAUCAGAAAGCCACGGCUAACUACGUG